GGCUCCGUAGCCCAAUCGGCAGAGGCAGCCGACUUAAGAUCGGCCUAGUGUCAGUUCGAAUCUGACCGGAGCUACCA
Molecule: transfer RNA, 77 nt
Filed under: Planctomycetota bacterium
Lineage: Bacteria; Pseudomonadati; Planctomycetota
Description: Planctomycetes bacterium (activated sludge metagenome) tRNA-Leu
Rfam family: tRNA
About the family: Transfer RNA (tRNA) molecules are approximately 80 nucleotides in length. Their secondary structure includes four short double-helical elements and three loops (D, anti-codon, and T loops). Further hydrogen bonds mediate the characteristic L-shaped molecular structure. tRNAs have two regions of fundamental functional importance: the anti-codon, which is responsible for specific mRNA codon recognition, and the 3' end, to which the tRNAs corresponding amino acid is attached (by aminoacyl-tRNA synthetases). tRNAs cope with the degeneracy of the genetic code in two manners: having more than one tRNA (with a specific anti-codon) for a particular amino acid; and 'wobble' base-pairing, i.e. permitting non-standard base-pairing at the 3rd anti-codon position.
Source: RNAcentral